GCGGCGGCCCCGAGGACGUGGCCCUGGCGCCCUGCACCGCCGCCGCCGCCUGCGAAGCGGGCCCCUCCCCGGUCUACGUCAAGGUCAAGAGCGCGGAGCCGGCUGACUGCGCCGAGGGGCCGGUGCAGUGCAAGAACGGCCUCUUGGUCUCCAGCCCACACUGUGAAGAGCCUUGUGCCCACAGCUGUGCACAUCCUGGGCUUCCUCCACACCUUGUCCAUAAACUGCCCCUCAGCUACCUUCAGACCCAGGAUACAGACGCAGCCUCCAGAAGAAUAAAUGCUCCAUUAGCAGCUGGCUGGAGCUGGCUGAGGCUCUGGCUGGUGACUCUGGCCUCUGGUGUAGACUUCCCUCAGGUGAGUGCAUGGAUGAGAGCUCUACCUUCUCCUGACUGCCCAGGCCUCAGGACAACAGGUAAGCCAAGAGGCUCAGGCCUUCCCCUGCACUUCUUGUCCUUCUGCUGGGAGUGGCCAGGCCUGUGGUCAGUCCUUCCACCAUCUGCCUCUCUCAUGUCCUCAUGCGGAGGCAUCCCUACGUGUGGGGAUCUGUGCUCAGUGCUCAGGAGGCAUCCAGCACCCUGGGUGUCUGUGGAUUGUUAGGGAUUUUCUGGGACUGUUAGGCUGUCAGGUUGUUAUCAAUGAGGGGCAGGAGGGAUCCCAGGGUAUUUCUGAGCAUCGAAGAGAGAGGUCCAGGCUACCAACUGGUUGUGUCUUCUUUGCUGGGGGGUGGGAGCGGGGGUAGUGGCUCCCUGGUCUGGGAGCAGGACUGCAGUGAGUAUGCUGGAGCUCUGAGCUCCUGCAGUUAAGCCAACUGAAGGUGGGCGUAUGGUUGAGUGGUUAACUGCAGGUGGGCAUAUGGUUGAGUGGGUCAGCCAGCAGACAGAGCUCCGACCUCUUCAUUUUCUCUCUGGUUAGACAGAGUUUAAAUGGCUUUACCUGACUUUGGAAGACUCCUGAGGAGUCUAAGCAGGUCCAGCCAGUGGGUACAGGCUUGAAGACCAACAGGGUGGGCUGGCAGAUGAGACAGUAUCAGCAUCUCAGUCCAGGCGUCCCAGCCAGGACCACCCUAACCACCACCAGGAGGAUGGAACCAGCCCCUAGCCCUUGUGAGUGGCUCUCCCUUUUCUGUACCAUCUCAAGGGAAACCUGAAGACAAGCUACCAGCAUGAGAUGUCCUGGUGUUCAGGGAACACAGUUAAACAAAAGUGUGAUGCUGCUGUGGGAAAGCCUGCCCCAGGACACCACCAUACCAUGCUGUCUUCAGUUCCUGCCAGCUGAAGUUUUAUUCCCAGGCAAUGCUUUCUCCUUUUACCGUUUCCCGUGGGGACCUGACUGGCUGUCUUUGGGGACUGAGGUCUUACAGGCCAGGAGGUGCCUUUGAGCUCAUGCUAGGGGCUGUGUGCCUGUGAACUCACUGGAAUCCUUUGUUGACACAUUGCUUUCUUACCAGUCUGUGAGCUCUUUGAGGGCAGGGCUUGUGAUGCUACUAUUUAGUAAUUCCUGUAUCCCAGUUGGUGCUGACACAUAGUAGGUGCAUAGUAAGUGCUUACUGAAUGAAUGGAUGGGUGCAUUUCCUGUUCUACAGAUACCUGUUCAAACUUUGUUUUGUACUUUAUUUUGUUAACCCAGUUAAUGCUUCUGACAAGAAGUUCUACAGCUCCUCCCCACCCCAUCAAAGAGGAGGGCCCUUGGCCUCAAAUAGGCCAAUCAGGCUCUGUUGGUGGGGAGUUGAAUCUUCAGUGAGCAACUGGGGAAGAGAAAACAGAACAGAACUAUUUUCGGAGGCCCCGAGGCCUGCAUCCUCAAGGCUACCUGGCUUUGUCUUUUCUGAGGCUCGGUCAACAUUUUCCUUGGUUCUCUGAGUUACUCACAUCUUUCUAAUACAUUUCCUCUUUUACUUUAGUUAAAACCAGAGUUGGUUUCUGUUGCUUGCCUCCAAAGAACCCUGACUGAUAUAAGUGUUUUCCUGUUAUUUUUAAAUCUUCUAAAGUAUUGCUCUGAGAUGGUUUCUGCUUAAGCAGAUUCAUUGAAACAGUUUACUUCAUAUUUGGAUUUUUCCAUUUGUCAGAACAUUCUUCCUUGGUAGUGUGGUGCAGUAGAAGGGACUGGACUGAUUUAGAUAAUCUAAAGGUAAUUCUGACUGUGCCACUAAUUAUGUAAUUUCAGAGGAGUAACAUUCUCUUUGGAUUUCAGUUUCCACAUGAGAAAUAAAAAAACUUGAACUGAGUAACCACAGAUUUCCUUCCAGCUUUAAGAUCCUAUUAUUCAUAUGAGUCAAUAUCUGCCUUUUAGUGAUAUGCUCCAUUGGCCCCAGUUACAUGGUCUGGGCUUAUGUGAUAACCCUUCAAAUAUUUGAGAACCUAUGCUCCUGCGAGUGUUUUGUUCUAGGCCCAACAUAACCAGUUUCUGUAAUCAUUUCUCAUAUGGUAAGGUUUUUAGACUUUUCACCAUUCUGGUCAUUCUCUUCCAGACACUCCAGUUUUUCAGUGUCUUCCUGAAAGUGUGGCUUCGAGACCUGGACCUGGACUAGUCAUGCUGUGGGAGUCUCCCCACUACUUACCCGUGUGCUCAGCCUGCCCCUCCUGGCACAUAAUGUUGACUAAGGCACAGCCCAAGGGGAGGCAGCCACCAUAACUUUCCUAGAUCUAGGGAUAGUUAUUUUUUGUCAUUUUAGAGGCCCUUCCUUCAGGCUGCAUGCAGAACAGAUGCAGGUAGCCAUGAAGCCAAAUCUGGAAGGAGAUGAUGCUUCCUCUGAAGAUCAGAGAACAGAUGCAAAAACUAUUGCUCAAGGAAAAUAAAGUGAAAACGAGGAAAAGCAAAAGAAGAUCUGGAGAGGGCUCUCACCUGACCACAAGCAUCCUGGAGCAAUGAGUUUCAGGCAGGAAGACUCAUCCUGAGCUGAGCUGCUUUUCUUGAAGUUGUGCAAGAACGUCCUGUUGGCUGGGGCAAAUUCAGUAUUUCUUUUCCUGGCCACUGUGCUGGAGCGUGAGGAAAGACUCUCCACCCUCACUCCCAGAUCCUGCAGGAGGCGUGAGAGCGGAUGGAGAUGGUGAGGAUGUCUAUUAAUAUGGUGUUUCCUGCAAAACGGUGCCCAUCUCAACCAUGGGUUGUCAACCAUCCUCGGUGUCUACAACUGCAAUUUACCUUUGAGGGCCCAUGAACUCUGAUUACCUGAAAGUCCUUAGGCCAGAAAGAGAAACCCCUGUCCCCCACCUCUCACUUUCACCUAUUUCUAGACCUUUUCUUACAGCAAUGCCUUGGCCCUCAGGAAGCAUCAGAUCUCAAACUGCAGGGUCUGGGGCUGAAGCUGAUGCUGGCAUGGGUGACUCAGAGUUCCUCUAUUAGUUCAAAUAUGUAAUAUCUUUUAGAGCCUAGGACUCAGGCUGGAGGCAAUUCCUUGGUGCCAGUUGGUUAAUACUUUAUGAAUAGUGGUGGGGGAGGGAAUGCCUUGGACUAUUAAUGUCCCCAUGGAUCUGGAUCCUGGAGAACUUCCAGUGUCCUGGAUGGAAUGUUCUGCUUGGCUCAUCUUGCCCAGAGAAGAGCCAGGAUAUGAGAAGAUGGGAGAGGGAAGGGGGAGGUGUGAAACGUGCUGGUGCUUCCUGUCCUCGUGGUGUGAUGGCUGCCCAGGCUGCUCCUUCGAGGCAGGACAGGAUUCCCAUGGGAGAUAUGAGGACCAUGGUGAUUUCCAGGCACCAGUUAUGUCCCAGAGCAUCGUGUGCCUGUGCAGUGGGGUUACUGAUAGUCCAGGCAUCAGUUCAUAUUGUCCUUUAUGGCAGAUCCUGCACAAGGGGGUUCUCUGUCUCUGGACCCACUCUGUCAGCAUGGACAUCCUUUUUCUUUUUCCCUGGUAAGGACAUCAGAAAGAAAGUUACCCCUCCAGUGUUUGGAGUCUUGGAAUCCUUGGCCUGCCUGCAGGCCUCUGAAUCCUCAGUGUGUUAGCCCAAGGUCACCUUAGGUAAAGGAACAUUUCUCCUGGUCUUCCAACACCCUGGAAAGGGAGGCUCUUCAAGAAUAGGAAAUUCUUCCUAGUAUCUAACCUUGGCCUGCAACUAUGCCAUACAUUUAAUUGUAGAAGGUAUGGAAAGUUAGGACUGUGGUGGACCCAGUUAAAUCACUGGACAGAAGCCAUGAGGCAGAGCCAGAACCAGCUUCUGGACUCCCUGCAUGGAGCUUUCUACUAUCCCAGGUUGUUGGGUCCCUUCUCAGUGGCCAAAGAUGCUAUUUUAUGAGCCUUGAGGACAUGACACUAAGUGAAAAAAGCCUGGCCAAAGGGCCACAUAGUGUAUAGUUCUAUUUAUAUGAAAUGUCCAGGAAAGACAAAAGCAUAGAGGCAGAAAGCAGACUAGUGCUGUGGGAGGAAUGGGGGAUUUGGGAGGUGAUGGCUAAGGGGUUAUGGGGUUUUGGGGGAGGUAAUAGAAAUGUUUUAAAAUUGGUUGUGAAGGUGGAUGCCCAACUCUGCGAAUACACUAAAAGGCAUCGAAUUGUAUACUUUAAAUAGGUGAAUUGUAUGCUAUGUGAAUUAUAUC
Homo sapiens (human) is the source of this 4525-nucleotide long non-coding RNA. Ensembl annotates it as small nucleolar RNA host gene 28. Its record names the gene SNHG28. The record is from Ensembl. Lineage: Eukaryota; Metazoa; Chordata; Mammalia; Primates; Hominidae.